CCAUUUUCAGUGAAGGAGCAGGCGCGCAAUUACCCAAUCCUGACUCAGGGAGGUAGUGACAAGAAAUAACAAUAAACCGGCUUAUGCCGGUUUAAUUGGAAUGAGUACAAUUUAAACAUCUUAACGAGGAACAAUUGGAGGGCAAGUCUGGUGCCAGCAGCCGCGGUAAUUCCAGCUCCAAUAGCGUAUACUAAAGUUGUUGCAGUUAAAAAGCUCGUAGUUGGAUUUCUGUGGGGACGGAGCGGCCGGCCGCACAUCGCGGUUCGAGCUAGCGCUUUCCCUACAUCCUGCCGCGAACCGUGCUACCAUUAGUUUGGUGGCGCCGGGGAUCGGCUCGAUUACUUUGAGAAAAAUAGAGUGUUCAAAGCAGGCCACAUGCCUUGAAUAAGUUAGCAUGGAAUAAUAACUAAGGACUUCGGUUCUAUUUUGUUGGUGUUCGGGACUGAAGUAAUGAUUGAUAGGGACAGUUGGGGCGGCCUGUAUUCCAAAGCGAGAGGUGAAAUUCUUAGACCUUCGGAAGACAAACAGCUGCGAAAGCGUUCCGCAAGGAUGUUCCCUUUGAUCAAGAACGAAAGUUGGGGGAUCGAAGACGAUCAGAUACCGUCGUAAUCUCAACUAUAAACUAUACCAGCUAGGGAUCGGCCAACGUUAUUUUAUACCGACUUGGUCGGCACCUUAUGAGAAAUCAAAGCAUCUGGGUUCCGGGGGGAGUAUGGUCGCAAGGCUGAAACUUAAAGGAAUUGACGGAAGGGCACCACCAGCCGUGGAGCCUGUGGCUUAAUUUGACUCAACACGGGAAAACUUACCAGGUCCAGACAUAGUAAGGAUUGACAGAUUGAUAGCUCUUUCUUGAUUCUGUGGGUGGUGGUGCAUGGCCGUUCUUAGUUGGUGGAGUGAUUUGUCUGGUUAAUUCCGUUAACGAACGAGACCCCAGCCUGCUAAAUAGCGCGCGUGAGCUUUGCUCGCGGCGAGCUUCUUAGAGGGACUAUGAUGCGCGGUAGCACAUGGAAGUUUGGGGCAAUAACAGGUCUGUGAUGCCCUUAGAUGUUCUGGGCCGCACACGGGCUACACUGGCGCCUGCAACGAGCAUAUCAGCUGGCCCGAGAGGGUCUUGGCUAAUCUUUUGAACCGGCGCCGUGCUUGGGAUUGACCUUUGCAAUUGUUGGUCAUGCAACGAGGAAUGCCUUGUAAACGCGAGUCAUCAGCUCGCAUUGAAUACGUCCCUGCCCUUUGUACACACCGUCCGUCGCUCCUACCGAUGAAUGUUCCGAUGAAAUUUUCGGAGAGCACCUGUGAACUUGGCUCUGCCUUGCGAACGGGAGGCUCAAAGUCAC
RNAcentral lists this ribosomal RNA (1334 nucleotides) under uncultured marine eukaryote. RNAcentral's name for it is "SSU rRNA". It matches the Rfam family "Eukaryotic small subunit ribosomal RNA", at positions 410 to 1758 of the family's 1831-position model. The record is from RNAcentral.